GGCGAACGGGUGAGUAAUGUAUCGGAACGUACCUUUCAGUGGGGGAUGACGUAGCGAAAGUUACGCUAAUACCGCAUAUUCUGUGAGCAGGAAAGCAGGGGAUCGCAAGACCUUGCGCUGAUUGAGCGGCCGAUAUCAGAUUAGCUAGUUGGUGAGGUAAAGGCUCACCAAGGCGACGAUCUGUAGCGGGUCUGAGAGGAUGAUCCGCCACACUGGAACUGAGACACGGUCCAGACUCCUACGGGAGGCAGCAGUGGGGAAUUUUGGACAAUGGGGGCAACCCUGAUCCAGCCAUGCCGCGUGAGUGAAGAAGGCCUUCGGGUUGUAAAGCUCUUUCAGCCGGGAAGAAAUCACAUGGGUUAAUACCCUGUGUGGAUGACGGUACCGGAAUAAGAAGCACCGGCUAACUACGUGCCAGCAGCCGCGGUAAUACGUUGGGUGCGAGCGUUAAUCGGAAUUACUGGGCGUAAAGCGUGCGCAGGCGGUUUGUUAAGAUAGGCGUGAAAUCCCCGGGCUCAACCUGGGAACUGCGUUUAUGACUGGCAGGCUAGAGUAUGGCAGAGGGGGGUGGAAUUCCACGUGUAGCAGUGAAAUGCGUAGAGAUGUGGAGGAACACCGAUGGCGAAGGCAGCCCCCUGGGCCAAUACUGACGCUCAUGCACGAAAGCGUGGGUAGCAAACAGGAUUAGAUACCCUGGUAGUCCACGCCCUAAACGAUGUCAACUAGGUGUUGGGUGGGUAAAACCAUUUAGUACCGGAGCUAACGCGUGAAGUUGACCGCCUGGAGAGUACGGCCGCAAGG
This 801-nucleotide ribosomal RNA is filed under the name uncultured bacterium. RNAcentral's name for it is "bacterial SSU rRNA". It matches the Rfam family "Bacterial small subunit ribosomal RNA", at positions 97 to 893 of the family's 1533-position model. The record is from RNAcentral.